Molecule: ribosomal RNA, 449 nt
Filed under: uncultured bacterium
Lineage: Bacteria
Description: partial 16S ribosomal RNA
Rfam family: Bacterial small subunit ribosomal RNA
Source: RNAcentral
AACGAACGCUGGCGGCAUGCCUAACACAUGCAAGUCGAACGAGAUCUUCGGGUCUAGUGGCGCACGGGUGCGUAACGCGUGAGAAUCUGCCCUUUGGUUCGGAAUAACAGUUGGAAACGACUGCUAAUACCGGAUGAUGACGAAAGUCCAAAGAUUUAUCGCCAGAGGAUUAGCCCGCGUAGGAUUAGCUAGUUGGUGUGGUAAAGGCGCACCAAGGCGACGAUCCUUAGCUGGUCUGAGAGGAUGAGCAGCCAAACUGGGACUGAGACACGGCCCAGACUCUUACUGGAGGAAGCAGUGGGGAAUAUUGGACAAUGGGCGAAAGCCUGAUCAAGAAAUGCCGCGUAAGGGAUGAAGGCCUUAGGGUUGUAAAGCUCUUUUACCCGGGAGGAUAAUGACAGUACCGGGAGAAUAAGCUCCGGCUAACUCCGUGCCAGCAGCCGCGGUAA